RNAcentral lists this long non-coding RNA (398 nucleotides) under Monodelphis domestica (gray short-tailed opossum). RNAcentral's name for it is "lncRNA (ENSMODG00000035739.2)". Lineage: Eukaryota; Metazoa; Chordata; Mammalia; Didelphimorphia; Didelphidae. The record is from RNAcentral.
UGAGCUUUUAUGUGCUGAGGACUUCAAAAUGACUAUGAGCUGCUGAAAUGGAUUCCUUUUCCCUCUUUCUCUAACCACAGGAAGGCAGUUAGGAGGGAAGGUUUCAGAAACCCUCCGAUCUAUUUUUAACUCAUAUAAUGGCUUUUAUGCUCUAAUGGACAGCAGGUGGCACUGGCAAGCAAGACAGAGUGAGCUAUGAUCCAAUAACCUGAGUGACCUGUCUGUGCAUAUGCUGAGAGGAGCUCAUUUCCUCCUUCCCUCCCAGGUAUAGCUUUCUUUUUUCAGUGAUUCAUUCUCCCUCUCUACACAAGCAUAUGACCUUCCUCUCAAGCUCAGCACAGGACUUACCAUUGCCUCCCUUGGAAAAGGGAAAAUAAAUUGCUGCCACAUCUCUUAAC